RNAcentral lists this transfer RNA (58 nucleotides) under Parasteatoda cingulata. RNAcentral's name for it is "tRNA-Ser". The record is from RNAcentral. Lineage: Eukaryota; Metazoa; Arthropoda; Arachnida; Araneae; Theridiidae.
GACUUUACUAAAUAAAAUGUUUUGAAAGCAUUUUUUAAGAUAAAUAUCUUUAAAGUCA